GACGAACGCUGGCGGCGUGCUUAACACAUGCAAGUCGAACGGAAAGGCCUGCUUUCCCUUGUGGAUUGCGGGUACUCGAGUGGCGAACGGGUGAGUAACACGUGAGUGAUCUGCCCCCAACUUGGGUAUAAGCCUGGGGAACUGGGUCUAAUUCCCGAUAGGACUGCAGGGUGGUGCCUGUGGUGGAAAACGAUUUUCUAGUGGUUGGGGAUGAGCUCGCGGCCUAUCAGCUUGUUGGUGGGGUAAUGGCCUACCAAGGCGGCGACGGGUAGCCGGCCUGAGAGGGUGGACGGCCACAUUGGGACUGAGAUACGGCCCAGACUCCGACGGGAGGCAGCAGUGGGGAAGAUUGCACAAUGGGCGGAAGCCUGAUGCAGCGACGCCGCGUGGGGGAUGACGGCCUUCGGGUUGUAAACUCCUUUCGACCGCGAGGAAGCCACCUGGUUGGAAGGGUGGUGACGGUAGUGGUAGAAGAAGCACCGGCUAACUACGUG
RNAcentral lists this ribosomal RNA (494 nucleotides) under uncultured bacterium. Its description in RNAcentral is "partial 16S ribosomal RNA". It matches the Rfam family "Bacterial small subunit ribosomal RNA", at positions 28 to 507 of the family's 1533-position model. The record is from RNAcentral.